GUACUCAGAGUCUAAGCCCAUGAGGCUUUACAGUGGCUUAUUAUAAAUAGAUCUAAUAUGUAAAACCAAAAGCUUUUAAGAAUAGAGUCUACUCUCACAGAGCCAAGCUGUACUAUAUUUGAGCUUUUGAAUAUGAAACUUAAAUCCCAUUAGCACUGAGUCUACAUACCAUGAGUAGUGAAUAACUGAGGUCUGAGUUAGAGGUUAAACACAUCACUAGGAGAUGAACAAACACCAGGGUGGGUGGUAAACCAGUAGAGAGGGUGGGAAGGAAAGAUGCAGUUGUGACAGUUUUUGUGGAGUAACUUGGUACAGCCCACUCUCCAGGGAUGCCCUCCCCUCGUUGCCUACACCUGGAGGUCUACCCAUGGGGAGUGAAAAUGACAGCAGCUAGCUUAAGGAGUUGUCUGUCAGUCUAGAAAGCUCUCUACAGGACUCUCCAUAGAAAUGUAUUGUCUCAGAAAUACCAAGUGCUUGCUUCAUACAUACCUAGUGUUUAGCAGAAGUGCUAAUGAUACAAGGAAGGGAAAGCCCAUAAGAUCUCCACAAGUCCUAAGCAUCUUAGAUCUUGGUGUCUUCCAAGUUAAGUAUUUGCUCAAUUGUUGUCCCAUAUAUAGCACACAUGACAGCUUUUGCAUUCAAGUAAUUGAUCAACAAAGCUGUUCGUGCUGUCAGCAUUCAAUGAUUUUAUUGGAACAUCAGUUUUAGCAUCAGACCUGGUCGCUAGCCUUGUUUUUUCUACCUCUUUUUUUUUUUUUUUUUUUUAAAGAUUUGUUUAUUAUAUCUAAGUACACUGUAGCUGUCUUCAGAUGCACCAGAAGAGGGCGUCAGAUCUCAUCAUGGGUGGUUGUGAGCCAUCAUGUGGUUGCUGGGAUUUGAACUCAGGACCUUCGGAAGAGCAGUCGGUGCUCUUAACCACUGAGCCAUCUCUCCAGCCCGUUUUUCUACUUCUUAAUUGACUUUUAUAAACGAGUUAAACUUUGUUAGUCCAGUUUUCUUAGCUGUUCUGUGGGGGCUAGAAUAUAACCCUGGUACUGUUUGGGAAAAUCAGAGGAGACUCUGUACAUGGCUGGUGUCCCUAGUGUGCCGAGUAAGAAGGUUCCUUUAUAGCAUUGUAAAUUAAAAGAAAGCUUGCCUACCAGGCUAAGACUUGUACAUACUCCAGCCUUCUCAGCAAGUCAUUCUGGGUCUUUGUGAUGUUUGGUGUAGUUUGUAUCGCCAGGGAGUGUACGGAAGAACUUGGCUUCAGAGUGGCUUCUUUCUCACUUCUACCAAGCAUGAUACAGAUUGUCAUUUUGUUAAAAACAAAACCAAAAAAUGUAUUCCAUUCAGUGGGGACAUCAGGGGCUGGUUGUUUUUCUGAAUGCCAUUCUGUGAGGACUGUCCUUUAUCUGAGUAUUUGAUGAGUGCUUGGGCUAGCUAAGUUCACAGAUGCAAAAGUUGUUACAAAACGUGCCUUCCUUUUUUUUUUUUUGUUUUGUUUCUAAUGGAAGUGAAGGGGACUUAGGGAUAUUAUACAGUGUCAUGUGGCAAUUUAACACUCCAAAGUAGAAUCAGUUUCCAGAUGACGGGAUCUGAAACUCUGUAAAGAUUGUUUUGGAUGGCACAGUGCCCUGAAGACCAUCUGUUCCGUUCUCAGCCCCAUAUGGGAUGGCAACCAUCUCAGUGAAUGAGGCUGAUCAAUAAGGCGAUGGAUGACUCGGAAUCGGGAUUCUUCAAUUCGGAGAUCCAUUGAGCUGGAUUUGGAAGUUCUCUAUAAACUUUCAAAAUGAGGUUUGUUUUUGUUUUUGUUUUUGUUUUUUAAAUAAUACUAGUUUGUCACAUGGGAAAAGGAAAGUUCUAGAGCCCAGUGGCUUUGCCAGAUGGUUUUUGUGUGUUCUUGAGCCCGUUUCUCUUACAUUUAUUAUCCUGCCAUAACAAUUGGAGAUGUUUCCUAUCUUAUUUUUUCUAAGUAUGCAUUCAUAUUAGAAAUGAAAGUUUGAAUAUCGCCACAUGAGAGCACCACAGAGGUGUUUGCCAGAUGCUCGGAACAGUGCUGCGUUGACACACACGCCCUCGCUCAUCCAGCUGCCCCUGCCUUCGUAAACAGCUCAGUUAUUAGGGAUGGAGUCUGUAUGUGGUAGGCACUCUAUUCUUCAGGAAACCCAAAUUAGGUUGCCAGAAUCUAGCUAAUACAAAUGUUGCAAUUUUGUUGUUUGAUUUUUUUUUUUUUUUUUUUUUGAGACAGGUUCUUGCUCUGUAACCCGGCCAUAGUACUUAUAUAGCUCAGACUAUAUAUAAAUAGUACUUGUUGUGUAGCCCAGGCUAUCCUCCUGCAAUGAUCCUCCUGAGGCCGCCUCUGAGGGCAGGGAUUAUAGAUUGAGCCACCAUUCGAGGUUUAAAAAAUCUCAAAUUUCAAGGUAAAAUUUGAAAUUCUUUGUAGCCCAAGACAUUUUUUUUUUGUUUGUUUUUAAGGUGAAAAAUUUGCCAUAGAAGAUGUUUGUGAAGAUAAUGCUACUUAAUAUGGAGAGAGCUCUUGACUCUUCUGAGCUGCCAUAAAACUGUGAAGUCAACUUAGGCUUUAAAGUAUUUGCUGAACUCUAAAUUUGAGGACAGAAUGAUUUUUUUUUUUUUUUAGUUUUUAGAAAUACCACAAUCUGGCAUUACUUCUGAGUAGUAAGUAGUCAGUGACUUCCAAAAUGUGUGAAGGAUACUAGAGGAGUUUCAUUUCAUUAAAAAAUUAUUUUAAUUGUGUGUAUGUAUAUGUAUAUACACACAUGUAUUUGGGUGCAAGUACCUGAAGAGGCCAGAAGAGACUUCAAGCUCCCUGGAGCUGGAGUUCCAGGGGGUUACAGACCUCUGGCAUAGGGCGCUGGGAGCUGGAUUCGGAUCCUCUCUAAGAAAGUUGCACGGCGCCAUCCCUCCAGCCCCUCCCACCCCCGCUUCCUUCCUUCCUUCCUUCCUUUUUAAUUUUAUUUAUGUUUGCAGUUGUUUUGCCUGCACAGUGUUUGUGCCUAGUUCUGUGGGAUGCUGGAAGACAGUAUUGGAUCUUCCGAACUAGAGUUAGGCAGUUGUGAAUCACCAUGCGGUGUUGGGAACUAAGCCCCAGUCCUCGGGAAGAGCAGACAGUGCUCCUAACUGCUGAGCCAUCGUCCUAGCACCUUGCUUUAUUUCUCUGUGGAGAUUUGGGUCGCUGGCUUGAUAAAUACAAAGAAAGUGGCACUGUCAAAUGCACUGUGAACAUAAGCAGUCUGUCUGUCUUUGGUUUUGCUUUUGUUUUUCAGACAGGAUUUUCAUAUAGCCAAGGCUUUCUUCUGUUCGCCCUGUUUUUGUUUUCUCCUGAUGGGACGGGAUAGGAGUUUAGUAGCUGAGGAGUGCUGCUGCGGUCUGUCUGCCCCGUGCCUAGAACGGGAAUUGCCUGCUCUACUUGCCCCAUUACUGGAGUUGUCUCAGUGAAGGUGAUGACCUGGGACAGCAUCAUGUAUUCUGUUUCUUGUACUUCCUGUCUUGAUUUAGCGUCUGACAUCCUUGCCGCAUCAGGGCCUUUUCAGUUGUAUUCUUCAUCUUCUUGUUGUUGUUGCUGGGUUUUGCCAUAAAUGGAUAAAGAUACUAAAGGAAUUGAUGUAAUCAAUGAAACAUGAAUAUUACCUGUUGUCUUUUCUUAUUCUGUGUAUUCAUACAGUGUACAACUUGGGGUCCUAGGAUU
Molecule: long non-coding RNA, 3685 nt
Filed under: Mus musculus (house mouse)
Lineage: Eukaryota; Metazoa; Chordata; Mammalia; Rodentia; Muridae
Description: long non-coding RNA chr14:76430959-76434644
Source: RNAcentral